GAUGAACGCUGGCGGCGUGCUUAACACAUGCAAGUCGAACGGAAGGGCCCAAGCUUGCUUGGGUACUCGAGUGGCGAACGGGUGAGUAACACGUGGGUGAUCUGCCCUGCACUUCGGGAUAAGCCUGGGAAACUGGGUCUAAUACCGGAUAGGACGAUGGUUUGGAUGCCAUUGUGGAAAGUUUUUUCGGUGUGGGAUGAGCUCGCGGCCUAUCAGCUUGUUGGUGGGGUAAUGGCCUACCAAGGCGUCGACGGGUAGCCGGCCUGAGAGGGUGUACGGCCACAUUGGGACUGAGAUACGGCCCAGACUCCUACGGGAGGCAGCAGUGGGGAAUAUUGCACAAUGGGCGCAAGCCUGAUGCAGCGACGCCGCGUGGGGGAUGACGGCCUUCGGGUUGUAAACUCCUUCCGCUAGGGACGAAGCGUUUUUGUGACGGUACCUGGAGAAGAAGCACCGGCUAACUACGUG
This 468-nucleotide ribosomal RNA is filed under the name uncultured bacterium. RNAcentral's name for it is "partial 16S ribosomal RNA". It matches the Rfam family "Bacterial small subunit ribosomal RNA", at positions 28 to 507 of the family's 1533-position model. The record is from RNAcentral.